RNAcentral lists this ribosomal RNA (253 nucleotides) under uncultured bacterium. RNAcentral's name for it is "partial 16S ribosomal RNA". It matches the Rfam family "Bacterial small subunit ribosomal RNA", at positions 524 to 776 of the family's 1533-position model. The record is from RNAcentral.
UACGAAGGGUGCAAGCGUUACUCGGAAUUACUGGGCGUAAAGCGUGCGUAGGUGGUUGUUUAAGUCCGUUGUGAAAGCCCCCGGCUCAACUGGGGAGGGUCAUUCGAUACUGAUCGACUUGAAGGCAGGAGAGGGAAGUGGAAUUCCGGGUGUAGUGGUGAAAUGCGUAGAUAUCCGGAGGAACACCAGUGGCGAAGGCGACUUCCUGGCCUGUUCUUGACGCUGAGGCGCGAAAGCUGGGGGAGCAAACGGG